CACCACGCUCAGCCCCUCCAAGGCCACCUUCACCUUGCCGUACACAUCGUCCGGAGCCGCCACAGCGCUGAUCACGUGGCACUUGCCCUGCGUAAGGUAGUGGUCCUUCACGGGCAGCGACUGAUCCAGGAAGGUGCGGAAGCGCUUGCGAAUGGUGUCGGCGUUGUCGUCGCUGCGGCCGCUGGUCUCCCCGCGCUUCAGCAGGCGCUUCUCCAUCUCCUCCUCCGGGCAGUCGAAGAACAGCACCGUCUUGCACGGCAUAAUGCUGCUCUCAAACUGCUCCGCCUGGUCCAGCGCGCGCGGAAAGCCGUCGAUGAGGAAGAACUUGCCACCGCUGGCUAUCAUGUCCCGCUUCAGCAGGUUGAGCGUGACAGCCACCGGCACGAGCUUGCCCUCCUUCAUCAGCGCCUCGCACUUCUGGCCGACCUCGCUGCCGCUCUUCACCUCAGCGCGCAGCAGGUCGCCGGCGCUGAGGUGCACGCAAUCGUAGUCGGCCUUAAUCUUGUCGCACUGCGUGCCCUUGCCGCUGCCGGGGCCACCGAGCACGAACACAAUCUGGGCAUCGGCGGGCAGGCUGCCGGGCACGGACGGCAGCGCAAUCUCCUGUGAAGGGAGCAUGGAUUAAAAAUGUUGUAAGAUAUGUGAAAAUCGGUCGUUUCACAUGCGAGUGCUGAACCCAUCAGCCGUCAACGUGAAUCCAUCAAGACAUGCAAACCGGAUCCCGGAAUGUGCAUGCAUAUGCGCGCCCAAGCACAAGCACAAGAUGCAAGCCGUUUACGGCAAACACCACGCCUAGGGACCAGAGUGCCACAAAGCCCGCCCAAGCAAAGCCCCACCCACCUCCGACUUCUUGGGUGCGCCCAUAGCGUCCAGCGCCGCCUUCACCUUGCCGUACACCUCCUUUGGGGGAGGGACAGCGCUGAUCACGUGGCACUUGCCCUGCGCAAGGUAGUGGUCCUUCACAGGCAGCGACUGAUCCAGGAAGGUGCGGAAGCGCUUGCGAAUGGUGUCGGCGUUGUCGUCGCUGCGGCCGCUGGUCUCCCCGCGCUUCAGCAGGCGCUUCUCCAUCUCCUCCUCCGGGCAGUCGAAGAACAGCACCGUCUUGCACGGCAUGAUGCUGCUCUCAAACUGCUCCGCCUGGUCCAGCGCGCGUGGAAAGCCGUCGAUGAGGAAGAACUUGCCGCCGCUGGCUAUCAUGUCCCGCUUCAGCAGGUUGAGCGUGACAGCCACCGGCACGAGCUUGCCCUCCUUCAUCAGCGCCUCGCACUUCUGGCCGACCUCGCUGCCGCUCUUCACCUCAGCGCGCAGCAGGUCGCCGGCGCUGAGGUGCACGCACUCAUACUCCUCCUUGAUCUGAUCGCAUUGCGUGCCCUUGCCGCUGCCGGGGCCGCCGAGCACGAACACGAUCUGGGCAUCGGCGGGCAGGCUGCCAGGCACAGGCGGCAGCGCAAUCUCCUGCGGGCACGUGCAGCCGAGGACAUUCAGGUUAGGACCGAAUGGCACCAGCCGCAAUCAGAUGCUACGAAACAAAAGCUAUUACUUCCAUGCGGAGAUUAAUUGGCACAGCUGCUAUCCGUUUCCCGCCCCAGCAGCCCCGCAUUAUAGUCAAAAACGCCGUACAACGCAUCCCGGCUUUCCCUUACCUCUGAAACCGCAGCAGCCGCCUUCUUCGGCGCGUGCAAGCCCUCCAACACCACCUUCACCUUGCCGUACACAUCGUCCGGAGCCGCCACAGCGCUGAUCACGUGGCACUUGCCCUGCGCAAGGUAGUGGUCCUUCACAGGCAGCGACUGCUCCAGGAAGGUGUGGAAGCGCUUGCGAAUGGUGUCGGCGUUGUCGUCGCUGCGGCCGCUGGUCUCCCCGCGCUUCAGCAGGCGCUUCUCCAUCUCCUCCUCCGGGCAGUCAAAGAACAGCACCGUCUUGCACGGCAUAAUGCUGCUCUCAAACUGCUCCGCCUGGUCCAGCGCGCGCGGAAAGCCGUCGAUGAGGAAGAACUUGCCACCGCUGGCUAUCAUGUCCCGCUUCAGCAGGUUGAGCGUGACAGCCACCGGCACGAGCUUGCCCUCCUUCAUCAGCGCCUCGCACUUCUGGCCGACCUCGCUGCCGCUCUUCACCUCAGCGCGCAGCAGGUCGCCGGCGCUGAGGUGCACGCACUCGUAGUCGGCCUUAAUCUUGUCGCAUUGCGUGCCCUUGCCGCUGCCGGGGCCGCCGAGCACGAACACGAUCUGGGCAUCGGCAGGCAGGCUGCCAGGCACAGGCGGCAGCGCGAUGUCCUGUUGCAUGAACGGAGAGCACAGAAGGAGGCAAGACGUUUCAGUUUUACAGUGACCAAACAUCCACUUGGCGCUACGGCCCGAGUGCUUCCCAAAGCACCCAUAGCAUCCUGCUGUCGCAUACAGCGCUGUGCGCAUCCCGAAAUUAAAGCCCCAACAAUUGGACAUAAGACAAGCCCAUGUCCAUUCACGACCCAAAUCUACGUGCUCAGGUCACGGCGCCGCAAAGUCCACCCAAGCAAAGCCCCACCCACCUCGGACUUCUUGGGUGCGCCCAUAGCGUCCAGCGCCGCCUUCACCUUGCCGUACACUUCCUUUGGGGGAGGGACAGCGCUGAUCACGUGGCACUUGCCCUGCGCAAGGUAGUGGUCCUUCACAGGCAGCGACUGAUCCAGGAAGGUGCGGAAGCGCUUGCGAAUGGUGUCGGCGUUGUCGUCGCUGCGGCCGCUGGUCUCCCCGCGCUUCAGCAGGCGCUUCUCCAUCUCCUCCUCCGGGCAGUCAAAGAACAGCACCGUCUUGCACGGCAUGAUGCUGCUCUCAAACUGCUCCGCCUGGUCCAGCGCGCGUGGAAAGCCGUCGAUGAGGAAGAACUUGCCGCCGCUGGCUAUCAUGUCCCGCUUCAGCAGGUUGAGCGUGACAGCCACCGGCACGAGCUUGCCCUCCUUCAUCAGCGCCUCGCACUUCUGGCCAACCUCGCUGCCGCUCUUCACCUCAGCGCGCAGCAGGUCGCCGGCGCUGAGGUGCACGCACUCAUACUCCUCCUUGAUCUGAUCGCAUUGCGUGCCCUUGCCGCUGCCGGGGCCGCCGAGCACGAACACGAUCUGGGCGUCGGCAGGCAGGCUGCCGGGCACGGGCGGCAGCGCAAACUCCUGCAUAGGGACGAAAAUGCAAUGGAAAUCAGCAAGCCGAGAUUAAUAAUCAGUGGAAACUUACGCAUCAGUACACUUGCACUUCAGUACGCAUCCUACUACCGGGAGGAUACGGUAAGGCAGGCAGGCAGAGGCCAUCGAUUUCACGCUUGCCCCAGCUUUCCGUACGAUGUACCGUAUGCUAGGUUGCUUGACCGGAACCCGUGCAAGACGCACACGGAUAUACCACCGGUGAACAGCCAUGACCGCUCACCUCCAAAGCAGCCGCAGCAGGAGUAGCCGAAACUGUCGCAGUCACGCCCGCCUUCUUCGGCGCGUGCAAGCCCUCCAGCACCACCUUCACCUUGCCGUACACAUCGUCCGGAGCCGCCACAGCGCUGAUCACGUGGCACUUGCCCUGCGUAAGGUAGUGGUCCUUCACAGGCAGCGACUGAUCCAGGAAGGUGCGGAAGCGCUUGCGAAUGGUGUCGGCGUUGUCGUCGCUGCGGCCGCUGGUCUCCCCGCGCUUCAGCAGGCGCUUCUCCAUCUCCUCCUCCGGGCAGUCGAAGAACAGCACCGUCUUGCACGGCAUGAUGCUGCUCUCAAACUGCGCCGCCUGGUCCAGCGCGCGCGGAAAGCCGUCGAUGAGGAAGAACUUGCCGCCGCUGGCUAUCAUGUCCCGCUUCAGCAGGUUAAGCGUGACAGCCACCGGCACGAGCUUGCCCUCCUUCAUCAGCGCCUCGCACUUCUGGCCGACCUCGCUGCCGCUCUUCACCUCAGCGCGCAGCAGGUCGCCGGCGCUGAGGUGCACGCACUCGUAGUCGGCCUUAAUCUUGUCGCAUUGCGUCCCCUUGCCGCUGCCGGGGCCGCCGAGCACGAACACGAUCUGGGCGUCGGCAGGCAGGUUGCCGGGCACAGGUGGCAGCGCGAUGUCCUGCAUAAAAGCAACCAAGGGAACAAACGUGCAAUCAUAAGGUGUUGGCUGUGGCGCCGACCAUGACCCAGUGCCCUUGUACACAAAGCAAUGGGGCGUGCCGUACGCGCCGCACACACAGAACAGCGGUUUGGUGGCUGGAAACAUAAGAUGCGGCACGGUAUCCCUAUCUGCAGGUCGGCUUCUCAAGUGUUCAACUUAGGCAAGACGCACCUCCGAAGCAGCCGGGGCCGCUGCAAGUGCCGUCGCCGCUGCGCUCGCCUUCUUCGGCGCGUGCAAGCCCUCCAGCACCACCUUCACCUUGCCGUACACAUCGUCCGGAGCCGCCACAGCGCUGAUCACGUGGCACUUGCCCUGCGUAAGGUAGUGGUCCUUCACGGGCAGCGACUGAUCCAGGAAGGUGUGGAAGCGCUUGCGAAUGGUGUCGGCGUUGUCGUCGCUGCGGCCGCUGGUCUCCCCGCGCUUCAGCAGGCGCUUCUCCAUCUCCUCCUCCGGGCAGUCAAAGAACAGCACCGUCUUGCACGGCAUGAUGCUGCUCUCAAACUGCUCCGCCUGGUCCAGCGCGCGUGGAAAGCCGUCGAUGAGGAAGAACUUGCCGCCGCUGGCUAUCAUGUCCCGCUUCAGCAGGUUGAGCGUGACAGCCACCGGCACGAGCUUGCCCUCCUUCAUCAGCGCCUCGCACUUCUGGCCAACCUCGCUGCCGCUCUUCACCUCAGCGCGCAGCAG
Molecule: long non-coding RNA, 4781 nt
Filed under: Chlamydomonas reinhardtii
Lineage: Eukaryota; Viridiplantae; Chlorophyta; Chlorophyceae; Chlamydomonadales; Chlamydomonadaceae
Description: long non-coding RNA (CREI_LNC000042)
Source: RNAcentral